This 497-nucleotide ribosomal RNA is filed under the name uncultured bacterium. Its description in RNAcentral is "partial 16S ribosomal RNA". It matches the Rfam family "Bacterial small subunit ribosomal RNA", at positions 28 to 507 of the family's 1533-position model. The record is from RNAcentral.
GAUGAACGCUGGCGGCGGGCCUAAUACAUGCAAGUCGAGCGAACAGACGAGGAUUGUGCCUCUUCGACGUUAGCGGCGGACGGGUGAUUAACAGGUAGGUAACCUAUCUAUAGGACUGGGAUAACUUCAGGAAACCUGAGCUAAUACCGGAUAAUAUUUAGAACGGCAUGGUUCGUUAGAGAAAGAGCGCUUUGCUAAGCCUUAGACAUGUUACUGGGCUGUAUUAGCUAGUUGGUAAGGUAACGGCGUACCAAGGCAACGAUACGUAGCCGACCUGAGAGGGUGAUCGGCCACACUGGAACUGAGACACGGUCCAGACUCCUACGGGAGGCAGCAGUAGGGAAUCUUGCGCAAUGGGCGAAAGCCUGACGGAGCAACGCCGCGUGAGUGAUGAAGGUCUUCGGAUCGUAAAGCUCUGUUAUUAGGGAAGAACAAAAGUGAAAGUAUCUCUGCACGUCUUGACGGUACCUAAACAGAAAGCAACGGCUAACUACGUG